Molecule: small nuclear RNA, 107 nt
Organism: Psammomys obesus (fat sand rat)
Lineage: Eukaryota; Metazoa; Chordata; Mammalia; Rodentia; Muridae
Source: RefSeq, a predicted model, not a curated record
GUGCUCGUGUCAGCUGCAUAUGUUCUAAAACUGGGACAAUAUGAAGAAGAUUAGCAUGGCCCCUAAGCAAGGAGGACAUGCAAAUUCAUGAAGUGUUUCUACUGAAA